RNAcentral lists this ribosomal RNA (820 nucleotides) under uncultured bacterium. RNAcentral's name for it is "bacterial SSU rRNA". It matches the Rfam family "Bacterial small subunit ribosomal RNA", at positions 43 to 853 of the family's 1533-position model. The record is from RNAcentral.
CAGGCUUAACACAUGCAAGUCGAGGGGAAACGACAUCGAAAGCUUGCUUUUGAUGGGCGUCGACCGGCGCACGGGUGAGUAACGCGUAUCCAACCUGCCCACCACUUGGGGAUAACCUUGCGAAAGUAAGACUAAUACCCAAUGAUAUCUCUAGAAGACAUCUGAAGGAAAUUAAAGAUUUAUCGGUGAUGGAUGGGGAUGCGUCUGAUUAGCUUGUUGGCGGGGUAACGGCCCACCAAGGCGACGAUCAGUAGGGGUUCUGAGAGGAAGGUCCCCCACAUUGGAACUGAGACACGGUCCAAACUCCUACGGGAGGCAGCAGUGAGGAAUAUUGGUCAAUGGGCGAGAGCCUGAACCAGCCAAGUAGCGUGCAGGAUGACGGCCCUAUGGGUUGUAAACUGCUUUUAUAAGGGAAUAAAGUGAGUCUCGUGAGACUUUUUGCAUGUACCUUAUGAAUAAGGACCGGCUAAUUCCGUGCCAGCAGCCGCGGUAAUACGGAAGGUCCGGGCGUUAUCCGGAUUUAUUGGGUUUAAAGGGAGCGUAGGCCGGAGAUUAAGCGUGUUGUGAAAUGUAGACGCUCAACGUCUGCACUGCAGCGCGAACUGGUUUCCUUGAGUACGCACAAAGUGGGCGGAAUUCGUGGUGUAGCGGUGAAAUGCUUAGAUAUCACGAAGAACUCCGAUUGCGAAGGCAGCUCACUGGAGCGCAACUGACGCUGAAGCUCGAAAGUGCGGGUAUCGAACAGGAUUAGAUACCCUGGUAGUCCGCACGGUAAACGAUGGAUGCCCGCUGUUGGUCUGAAUAGGUCAGCGGCCAAGCG